Molecule: small RNA, 4888 nt
Filed under: Pyricularia oryzae
Lineage: Eukaryota; Fungi; Ascomycota; Sordariomycetes; Magnaporthales; Pyriculariaceae
Description: Magnaporthe oryzae sRNA M_BR32_EuGene_00142761
Source: RNAcentral
UUAAUAUUCCUUUUUCGGUAAUUUAGCAGUUCCUGCAAUUGAGCAGUACGUUGGUCCCUAAUUUUGACCCUCCAAAACUAGGACGAAAAUUUGUUUCUAUUAUGUCCCAAAAUUAAUUUUCCAAAAAAUAUCGAUUAACAAUGGUUUUUAAAAAUGGUAAAAUGUUCCCAAAUAAGUCCAAAAUUAAAAUGUUUUAUUUCCGAUUUACUAAUAUUUUUUUUGUUUUUGAAAAGAUUUUUUCGGACAUUUUUUUGGUUAAAAAUAAAUUCUUGGUUGAAAAAUCCAAUAUUUUGACAGAAAAUAACGCAAAAAGUAACCAGCAAAAUGCUGCGUAUGGUUAAAAUCGAUUUUGAAGCGUUUUAUAUAUUGCCUGGUUGCAACAAAUUUCCUUACGCAAAUUUACCUAAAGACCGAAACGGAUAUAUUAUACCAAGCCGAGGCAGUUUUAACCGAUAUCCAAACCCGAUCCGAGGCAGGAUGAAAUUAGUAAAAUAGGCCAUUUCCGGUCACCACCCACAAUAUAGAAGAAAAAAUCCAGGUGUAAUUAAUCGGUAUUAUAUUAUAUUUUCGAUUUUGUUAUGUUUUUUGACGGAUAUAUAUUGGAUUAUUGGAAAUGCCCGAUAUUUUGCUAUGUAAAAAUAACAAAAAUAUUUAAAAGCGGCACAGUCCUUAUUUUUAUAACGUGAAAUUUACGAUUAUAUAUAUAACCAAGUGCCCAUUAUCCUUGGCAAACAUGGACCCAGAAGAUUUUAAGGGAGGUUUUCUUUACAAUAUCGACCCAUAAGGCAACCAGGUGUAAUUUCCCCUGGCCUGCAAAUUGUAUAUAACCGCUUAUUUACCUCCUUAUAUUUGUCAAAUUUUUUUUUUUUAUCAAUGGUUUUAAUACGAGAUUUUCAAAUAUUGCGAGCCUUCGUACCUCAACCCUCCAAUCUUCCUGGUAAUUUUACCAAAAUCUUUUUCGUUUUACCAAUUAUUUCUAUUAUUACCAUUAUAUCCUUUAAUAUCGCUUUUUAUAAAUUGCAGCAAAAUUAUCCACUUUCUUUUAAAAGUUAAAACCACAGCAAUUUGUUAUUAUGGGCACCAAAAAAUAGAAAAUAUACGGGGAAAUCGUAAUGGAACGUGUUUUAGCAAACGGGCUUCCAACUGAUUUUUCACAAAUUAGUGACAAUUAAUUACGCAAAAUAUUUCGUGAAAAGACCAAGAAAUGUUAUAACGACGCGUUUAUAAUAUAAUUUUGGUAAAAAAGCCUUUUGAUUUAUAUUAAAAUACCUAAAACUAAAUAAAUCUUUUUUUAAUUAUAUAAAGUCACAAGGACCUUCGGACCCCCGAGAUAUGCGAGUUAUAAAACAUUUCGUCAAAAUAUUGGCCUUGGGGAAAAAGGGUAAAUUUGACAAAGUUUAUGGGCGACCGACAGUGGAUAGUUUAAAAUGUUUUACGCGCCAUUUUUGCAAUACGUGGGAACGAUACCAUAAAACAAACAUACCACCAGAAAUAAAACAUUUAAUAGCAUAUGUAAAUACUUUUUUAAUUUUUUAUUAAAUGUUUCGUUCCUUUUUCAAAAUAUUAAAAAAAGAUUUGUUAAUAUAAAUAAAAUCCUAAUAUUUGUAAGCAGUAUAUUUAAAGUAAAUUAGUAAACGAGUUUGGUUUAAAAAACCUACGCAAAAAACAAACGUUCCUUACAAUAGAAAAUUUUGUAAAAUUGCAUUAAUUUUUAUAAUUUAAAAACUUCCAUAAUUACGUAUAUAAAGGGUAUUGGGUAAACGACGCCAAUUUAUUAAACAUAUAUUAUUUCAAUUUUGUUAGGGUAAUAAAGUUAUAUAGAGCAAAAUACAAGGUAAAAUGCUCUUUUAAUCCCAUAUUAUCUAAUUAAAGCUGAUUUUGAAAUAGGAUUUCGUCUUAUUAAUUGGCUGGAAAGACGGAAAGGCUAAAUUUAAAUUGAAAGUACGAAGGGCAAUUUAUAAAGGAAAAAACGAUAGGCAGUAAGUUGAUCCGCCAUCAAAUACCCGUAAUGCAAUUGCUUAUUUUUGCUUAAACCAAAAUAUAUUAUACCAGAAAGGAUAUCGUCAAACUCCGGCCCGCCGCCUUUAUAUUUACAACCAAUGCUUUUUUGGUUGGCAAAUAUUAUUUUUUUUAAAGUUAUAAAAGGGAAUCCUUUAUUGCAAAAAAUUUUGCAAAUUGUACCUUAAAAGGGCCGAAACCACCGAAUUAUAUCGUUCGCGGAUAAUUUGAAAAAUUAUCCAGUUUUUCCCAUAUGGACGAAGACUGGUUCUAAAUAUAAUGCGAGAAAUUCAAAUAGCGUAUUACAGCAUAUUUUAAAUUGGGCAAAGCGCGCAAAAUUCGUAAAUGGUAUUGGCGGCCUUUAUAACGCACGAAAGGAAACCUUUGUUAAAACUAACGGUAAAAGAUUAGCGUUUUACCAUUUCCAUAUUAUACUAAUUUUAUUAUAGGAGAUAAUGGUUAAUCGGUCGAGCAACUCCAAUUUUUUGCGGAUUAUAGAAAUUUAUCAGUUUUUUAAAGGUAUUAUUUGGGUGUAAUAAAUAUAGUGGAUGGCGUGGCAAAUUAUUUGGGGAUGGAUAUUAGGCGUGAUUUUAUUAAAGACUUCCGAUCGGCAACGAUAAAAUGGGAUAGCGAUCUGGUUUUGCAAUUUCCGGCACGGGAAAUCGACCAGCUGAAAUAAAACGAGGAAUAUAUUCGAUUGAAAGAACAUAUUUUUACAUUUAACAUUCUUAUCGACGGCGCCCUUUUUAAAAAAAAGGAAUACGAGCAAUAUAUAGCCGCUCGCAAACAGGCGUACGAAAAUCGUCGAAAAUUCGUAAAACAAAAACUUUAAGAAUACCGGCAAUAUAUAACUAAUUAGCAGAACGAUUAGCACCGGGACCACCUUUUUCGCGUAAUUUAUAUAAUGCCUGAACGCCACCGGCUGCUGCGCAUUUUGGCUCAAAAAGAACCGCUUCGAAGUCCAACAGGCAUUUUAACGCUGGAAAAUUUUAUUGUUUUUCGCACAGGGGAUUGGCAGGUCGCAUACCAAUCUCAGCUAAGGCCUGAAAACGGCAUAUACCCCGUAAAAUUCUGCAAUAAAAUAAUUGAAAAGUAAUUGUAAAACAUAAUAUGCCAACAAUAUACGCUAAUUACCCCAAAACACGUUGCUAAUUACUUAUAUUGGUUUUUAACCUCCACGUUUCGCAAAAAUGGUUGCAUAUAUAUCGAUAUUUUGAAAAGCGUUUUAAAAACGACUACAAAUUCGCCAAAUUUUGUUUUUUAUAUAGCCAUUGGGUUAUAAAUAAACAGGAAUGGGAACACCAUUGCCAAAAAUAUAUUAACGACGGGGAUAUACCAUUUCGAUAUGAUCCCGUUAUUUUCCGGCACGCCUAUACGUAUGCUGGAUAUUAUCCUAUUCAUUUAGGCCGGACAGAUAUCCUUGCGAGCGAGCGGAUGAAAAUAUAUAUAAAUUUAAAAAUCUGGCGACUGCAUAUUUCGAAAUGCGUCACUAAUUAUAUAACAAUUGGGCUUCAUUUUAAUAAUUUCAAAUGCCCAUAUCCAAAUUGUUUUGCUCCAAUGGAUUCAGGGGAAAGCCUUUGGUAUUAUUUCCAAGAUAUCCACAACGUCGAAAAUGCGUCACCAAAAAAACGUAUUUUUAAUUCCGAAAAAAGCAACCACGGCCGAUCUGGAUCGAUCCGCUUUGCCAAAAAACAAAAAACAAUAUCAGGUCCUAAUCCGACAAUUAUUGCGACGUUAAUAUCCGAGCAAAUAAUUGCUAUUAUGUUUGUUAACCUAUAUAUUUGCAAUCCUAAACGUUUCAAUUUUAAUAUAAUCUAAUAAGGCGCCAUUUGCGUUUAUUACGUCGCCUACCUUUAAUACCGGUAAAUUAAUUUCGUCCAGCCAAAACGAACAAUAUUCGACCUUAUCGACGGAUUCCAGCUCCCUAAAAGAUUUCUGCAUUACCAAAAAUCCUAACAGUCCAUUGCAACACGUUUUGCUCCUGGAUUUAGGUUUUCCCGGGGCAUUACAACCUAACCCAUUUUAUGUCCCAAAUUUCAAAAGGAGAUUUAUAAAAUUAAUAAACCCUGCGUUUAUUAAAUUACCCGUCGCAAUAUUAAAAUGUAAUUCCUUAGGGGGCGUUAGCCCCCCGAAUAAAAACAGUGCCAAUUUAACAGGGCCUGCGUUACAAAAUAUGUUAGUUAAUAUCAAACAUUUUCCGAAUUUGUUGGAAGGUAAACCAGCUGCGUUUAAUGCAAAUAAUAAUAUAUGGGAGGCCGAAAAACUUUUCGCGAAAUGGGGUUUAAAAAAGAAAUUUUAUUAUUUUGUUAAAUGGAAGGGGUUCCUAUAUAAAAAUAAUACGUGGGAACCACGAGGUAAUAUUAGCGAAAAUUUUAUUAAAAACUUCGAAUCGAAUUUUGAGGGAAAUUAUGCAGGAGUGCGAUUAUUUGAUAAAAAAAAAUGGGCUGGAAACGUUAAAUAUUUGGUAGAAUGGAAGGGUCGACUAAAAGGCGAGAGGUUAUGGGAAAAGACCAAGACGUUGAAUAGCGCACGGGUUCGGGAAUACGAAGCAAGGGCAAAAGAUUUAUAACAAACGUUGAAAUAAACUAAAUAGCCAAUUACGGUUUUCUGGUAGAUCAAUCCUGGAAUUUCAUACGCACCAAGCUGCGUGGAGGUGGCGACAAUAAGCCGCAAAAACGAGUGACCAAAGCUGAUGCACGGCGGUGUGCAUGUACGGUACCGCGAUGAGGUGUAAAAAUGUAUAUAUUAAUACGUGUUCUAAAUUGGGUGCAAAACGCAUCGGAAACGGAAUUGGCUAAGGAAAAGAAGGUUUUCUACUAAAUUACGUAUAAGUUUGUAAAUGUCACGGCCAGGGUUAGCAUAGCAAAGAAACUAGUUUAUUGGUACUUAU